AUUGAACGCUGGCGGCAGGCCUAACACAUGCAAGUCGAGCGGAUGACGGGAGCUUGCUCCUUGAUUCAGCGGCGGACGGGUGAGUAAUGCCUAGGAAUCUGCCUGGUAGUGGGGGACAACGUUUCGAAAGGAACGCUAAUACCGCAUACGUCCUACGGGAGAAAGCAGGGGACCUUCGGGCCUUGCGCUAUCAGAUGAGCCUAGGUCGGAUUAGCUAGUAGGUGAGGUAAUGGCUCACCUAGGCGACGAUCCGUAACUGGUCGGAGAGGAUGAUCAGUCACACUGGAACUGAGACACGGUCCAGACUCCUACGGGAGGCAGCAGUGGGGAAUAUUGGACAAUGGGCGAAAGCCUGAUCCAGCCAUGCCGCGUGUGUGAAGAAGGUCUUCGGAUUGUAAAGCACUUUUAGUUGGGAGGAAGGGCAGUAAGUUAAUACCUUGCUGUUUUGACGUUACCGACAGAAUAAGCACCGGCUAACUCUGUGCCAGCAGCCGCAGUAA
This 500-nucleotide ribosomal RNA is filed under the name uncultured bacterium. Its description in RNAcentral is "partial 16S ribosomal RNA". It matches the Rfam family "Bacterial small subunit ribosomal RNA", at positions 30 to 523 of the family's 1533-position model. The record is from RNAcentral.